Molecule: long non-coding RNA, 409 nt
Filed under: Elaeis guineensis (African oil palm)
Lineage: Eukaryota; Viridiplantae; Streptophyta; Magnoliopsida; Arecales; Arecaceae
Description: long non-coding RNA (EGUI_LNC079877)
Source: RNAcentral
GUCACUAAAUAUAUGUAAAAAAAUCUAAAAAAUGCAUGAUUUUUUCAUUCUAAUCACUUCAUGCAUCCCGUAUCAGGAUUAAUAAUGUGGAUUUUCAUUUUGAAAGGUCCACCAUUGAUUUUCAUUGGAAAGUAUUUAGGGCCAAAUGGACUACAAUUUAUUUUAUCUAACUUUCUCUAAAUAUAUUUGCAUUUGUAGACUUAAUUACUAAAAUGGUCCCUAAGGUCUGGAGGUAAAAUUAUUUUAGUCCCCAACUUUUAAAAAGUUUCAAUCGAAUCAGUUUUGGUCAUUAUCGUCAAUAUUCCAUUGCUAAUCAAACAAAACUGCACAGGUAGUAUUUUUUUUAUGAUGUGGCAACUAGAUAGCAUUUAUAGGUCGAAGAUGUAGCAGAUACAACAAGUGGGGAGGG